This 727-nucleotide ribosomal RNA is filed under the name uncultured bacterium. RNAcentral describes it as "bacterial SSU rRNA". It matches the Rfam family "Bacterial small subunit ribosomal RNA", at positions 75 to 830 of the family's 1533-position model. The record is from RNAcentral.
CUUGCUAAUAAUUCUCUAGUGGCGCACGGGUGAGUAACACGUGAGUAACCUGCCCCCAAGAGUGGGAUAGCCCCGGGAAACUGGGAUUAAUACCGCAUAAAAUCGCAAGAUUAAAGCAGCAAUGCGCUUGGGGAUGGGCUCGCGUCCUAUUAGUUAGUUGGUAAGGUAACGGCUCACCAAGGCGAUGACGGGUAGCCGGUCUGAGAGGAUGUCCGGCCACACUGGAACUGAGACACGGUCCAGACACCUACGGGUGGCAGCAGUCGAGAAUCAUUCACAAUGGGGGAAACCCUGAUGGUGCGACGCCGCGUGGGGGAAUGAAGGUCUUCGGAUUGUAAACCCCUGUCAUGUGGGAGCAAAUUAAAAAGAUAGUACCACAAGAGGAAGAGACGGCUAACUCUGUGCCAGCAGCCGCGGUAAUACAGAGGUCUCAAGCGUUGUUCGGAAUCACUGGGCGUAAAGCGUGCGUAGGCGGUUUCGUAAGUCGUGUGUGAAAGGCGGGGGCUCAACCCCCGGACUGCACAUGAUACUGCGAGACUAGAGUAAUGGAGGGGGAACCGGAAUUCUCGGUGUAGCAGUGAAAUGCGUAGAUAUCGAGAGGAACACUCGUGGCGAAGGCGGGUUCCUGGACAUUAACUGACGCUGAGGCACGAAGGCCAGGGGAGCGAAAGGGAUUAGAUACCCCUGUAGUCCUGGCAGUAAACGGUGCACGCUUGGUGUGCGGGGA